GCAGGAGCCCGGGAGGCCUUUCGCCCGAGGCGGGCUGCGGGCUGCUGGGGUCUGGUGCGGAGGGCCAACUUCUGGGAAUAACCUGGCUGUGGGCUUAAAAAUCGUAGUCAUUCAUUAUCACGGGCUUCUCUCUCUCGAAUACCUUUAACAUUUAUCGCCUUGUUAGUCUCCACAUCCACCUCCGUGAAAGAGAUGGAGUCUCGCUAUAUUUCCCAGUCUGGCCUCAAACUCCUGAUCUUAAGGGAUCCCCAGCUCAACCUCUCCCAGCAGCUGGGACUACCGGGCUGUCAAAUUUACAUUAACUAUGAGAAUUAAGCAGGAAUUCUCAAGGGUCUCUUUGGAGGCUUACCAAGGACAUCCAGCUGCACAGUGAAGGUGGCUUCUCCUGCUCUAUUCUUGGCAACACAUGCAUAAGCCCCUGCAUCUGAAGCUCUGACUACUUCAAAGAUGAGUGAAUGAAGACCCUUCUCAGACACUAUCAUUUUGUGCAAAUCAUCUGAUUGAACUGUUCUUCCAUUUAGAUACCAUGACACAUCAGGAGCUGGCAGUCCACUCACCUAGAAAGA
This 566-nucleotide long non-coding RNA is filed under the name Homo sapiens (human). RNAcentral describes it as "non-protein coding lnc-HNRNPA0-4:4". Lineage: Eukaryota; Metazoa; Chordata; Mammalia; Primates; Hominidae. The record is from RNAcentral.